This 253-nucleotide ribosomal RNA is filed under the name uncultured Rhodoplanes sp. RNAcentral's name for it is "partial 16S ribosomal RNA". It matches the Rfam family "Bacterial small subunit ribosomal RNA", at positions 524 to 776 of the family's 1533-position model. Lineage: Bacteria; Pseudomonadati; Pseudomonadota; Alphaproteobacteria; Hyphomicrobiales; Nitrobacteraceae. The record is from RNAcentral.
UACGAAGGGGGCUAGCGUUGCUCGGAAUUACUGGGCGUAAAGCGCACGUAGGCGGUUUCUUAAGUCGGGGGUGAAAUCCUGGAGCUCAACUCCAGAACUGCCUUCGAUACUGGGAAACUUGAGUUCGGGAGAGGUGAGUGGAACUGCGAGUGUAGAGGUGAAAUUCGUAGAUAUUAGCAAGAACACCAGUGGCGAAGGCGGCUCACUGGCCCGAUACUGACGCUGAGGUGCGAAAGCGUGGGGAGCAAACAGG